This is a non-coding RNA of Lolium perenne, 6845 nucleotides long. Lineage: Eukaryota; Viridiplantae; Streptophyta; Magnoliopsida; Poales; Poaceae. The record is from RefSeq and is a predicted model, not a curated record.
AGAGAGAGCAGAGCGUUCUCUGGCUCUCCUAUCCUCGGGCCAUCCCCACCAUGGCCUCCUUCCCCUCGCCCUCCGUCGCCGCCCCGCGCCUCGCCCCGGGCCUCUCCCUAUCCGCCGCCGCCGUCCACCACUCCUCCCACUUCCGCCCACGCCCACGCGCCGCCGCGGCGCGCCGCCCGUCCCUCGCCCUCCCCCCCUCCGCCAUCGCCGCGCCCGCCAACCCCCUCCGCUGCUCCUACCGCCGCGCCGUCUCGCCCCGGUUGAGGAAGCGGGCGCAAGGGCUCGGGUCCGCGUCGGCGUCGGCGGCCGGGGUUCUCGGCGAGGAGCGGGACGGCGGGUGCCUAUCGUGCUUCCCCAGGACCCGGAGGCGGGGCCGGCCGGGCCUCGCCAGCUUCGCGCCCUGCGCGCUCCCGCACGCCUCGGGCUUAUCGCUUCACGGCCGCUGGGGCAGGCCCAAGACCAGGCAUAGUCACAUAUUGCGCGCUGCUGGACCUGACGAGCCACAUGUUGCAAGCCCAACAUGGUCUGAGGCAGCUCUCGAUAAACCCUAUCUUGAUCAAGGGAUUGAAAACGAGGAGCUUGAAGCUGUCCUGGACACACCUCUUCCUUCCCAUCCAAAGCUUAUCCGGGGCCAGUUGAAGAAUGGCCUCAGAUAUCUUAUUUUGCCAAACAAAGUUCCGGCUGAUAGGUUCGAGGCUCACAUGGAAGUUCAUGUUGGAUCAAUUGACGAGGAAGAGGAUGAGCAGGGAAUCGCACAUAUGAUCGAGCAUGUUGCAUUCCUUGGGAGUAAAAAGCGCGAGAGACUCUUGGGGACAGGUGCAAGGUCUAAUGCAUAUACAGACUUCCACCAUACAGUCUUCCAUAUCCAUUCUCCAACUAAAACAAAGGAAUACGGUGAAGCCUUACUCCCUUCUGUGCUGGAUGCUUUGAAUGAGAUAGCUUUUCAUCCAAAGUUUUCUUCAUCUCGUGUCGAGAAAGAGAGAAGAGCAAUUCUGUCAGAGCUCCAGAUGAUGAACACAAUUGAGUACCGUGUUGAUUGUCAGUUGUUGCAACAUUUACACUCGGAAAACAAAUUGAGCAACAGAUUUCCUAUUGGACUUGAGGAGCAAAUACUUAAAUGGGAUCCUGAUAAGAUCCGCAAGUUCCAUGAGAGAUGGUAUUAUCCUGCGAAUGCCACUUUAUACCUGGUAGGAGAAAUUGAUGAUAUUCCCAGAGCAGUGCGGGAGAUAGAGGCUGUGUUUGAACAUACACUUACUGGAAACGAAGCAGCCCCUAUGUCGACUGCAGGUCCGUUUGGGGCCAUAUCAAGCCUGUUUGCCCCAAAGCUGCCAGGUAGCUUGGCUGCAAGCCUAAGUGGUGACAGAUCACCUGCCACAGAUAAAAUAAAACCUGUAAAAAGGGAAAGACAGGCAGUUAGACCUCCCGUAGAGCAUAAAUGGUCUCUUCCUGAUGUUUAUCAAGAUGCCAAGCCUCCAGUGAUUUUUAAACAUGAGUUAAUUCAGAGUUUCUCUGUCAACAUGUUUUGUAAGAUACCCGUCAACCAAGUUCAGACAUACAAAGACCUGCGCAGUGUCCUGAUGAAACGGAUAUUUUUAUCUGCUCUGCAUUUUCGAAUCAAUACAAGAUACAAGAGCUCAAAUCCUCCCUUUACGUCAGUUGAGCUGGAUCACAGCGACUCUGGAAGGGAAGGGUGCACGGUGACCACUCUAACAGUAACAGCUGAACCCCAAAAUUGGAGGAGUGCUAUCAAAGUUGCUGUUCAUGAGGUUCGAAGACUCAAAGAGUUUGGUGUCACAAUGGGAGAAAUGACCCGUUAUAUGGAUGCACUAAUAAAAGAUAGUGAGCAGCUCGCUAUGAUGAUUGACAGUGUUCCCUCGGUUGACAACUUGGACUUCAUUAUGGAGAGUGAUGCACUUGGCCAUACUGUCAUGGAUCAGUUGCAGGGACAUGAAAGUUUGCUUGCAGUUGCAGAAACUGUCACGCUUGAAGAGGUUAACACUGUUGGCGCAGAAGUACUUGAAUUUAUUUCUGACUUUGGAAAACCCAAUGCACCACUUCCUGCUGCUAUUGUGGCCUGUGUACCAAGAAAGGUCCAUAUUGAUGGAGUAGGCGAAAGUGAUUUUGAGAUACACCCAGAAGAGAUAACCGAGUCCAUGAAGGCAGGUCUUGAAGAACCCAUUUACCCGGAGCCUGAGCUUGAGGUGCCAAAGGAAUUGAUUACUCAAUCAGAACUUGAAGACUUGAAAUUGCAACACCAACCAUCAUUUGCCCCUUUCGGUAAAGAGCAGGGCGUGGUGAAAGUAUUUGACAGUGAAACUGGUAUAACACAGCGCCGCCUUUCUAAUGGAAUUUCUGUCAACUACAAGAUCACACAAAAUGAGGCACGGGUUGGUGUUAUGCGCCUGAUAGUAGGUGGUGGGAGAGCCACCGAAGAUUCUGAGUCGAAGGGAUCUGUUAUUGUUGGUGUUCGUACUUUGAGUGAAGGUGGCUGUGUUGGUAACUUCUCAAGGGAACAGGUUGAGCUUUUCUGUGUGAACAACCUCAUAAAUUGCUCGCUGGAAUCCAAUGAGGAGUUCAUCUUUAUGGAAUUUAGGUUUGCCUUAAGAGAUAAUGGCAUGCGUGCUGCUUUCCAGCUCCUGCAUAUGGUCCUUGAGCAUAAUGUGUGGCUAGAAGACGCGUUCGAUAGAGCAGCUCAGUUAUAUUUAUCUUACUACCGCUCUAUCCCCAAAAGUUUGGAGCGUGCCACGGCUCACAAGCUUAUGGUAGCCAUGUUGAACCAUGAUGAAAGGUUUGUAGAGCCAUCUCCACAUUCAUUGCAAAAGCUGACUCUUCAGUCAGUUAAAGAAGCCGUCAUGAACCAGUUCGUGGGUAGCAACAUGGAGGUCAGCGUAGUUGGUGAUUUCACAGAAGAAGAGGUAGAAUCUUGUGUUCUUGAUUAUCUUGGGACUGUGAGGGCUGCAAAUUCUUCAAACACGGCGGAGCAUAUUGAGAAGAUCUCCUUCUUGCCGUUUCCAUCGGAUCUGCAUUCCCAGCAAGUAUACAUAAAGGAUACAGAUGAGAGAGCUUGUGCGUACAUUGCUGGCCCGGCACCUAAUCGAUGGGGGUUUGCUACUGAAGGAAAGGACCUCUUUAAUGUAAUUCGAAGUUCUAGCGCAAAUGCAGAAAUCUCUGAACCAGCAAACUCUGGUCUAAUGGAGAAGACACAUAUUAAUGUUCGCAACCAUCCUCUUUUCUUUGGGAUCACUUUGAGUUUACUGGCUGAAAUUAUUAAUUCCAGGCUAUUUACAACAGUUCGAGAUUCCAUGGGAUUAACCUAUGAUGUUUCUUUUGAACUAAAUCUUUUUGACAAACUGGAUCUGGGUUGGUAUGUGAUCGCGGUAACUUCAACCCCGAGCAAGGUCCAUAAAGCUGUGGAUGCAUGCAAAGGUGUUCUCAGAGGUUUACAUUGUAACAAAAUUGUUGAAAGAGAGUUGGACCGGGCAAAGAGGACAUUGCUGAUGAAACACGAGGCUGAGACAAAGACAAAUGCCUAUUGGCUUGGUCUGCUAGCCCAUCUGCAGUCUUCUUCCGUGCCUAGGAAGGAUAUAUCCUGUAUUAAGGAAAUGACGACACUAUAUGAAAGUGCCACAAUUGAGGACUUGUAUCUUGCAUAUGAGCACUUGAAGGUUGAUGAUUCAUCUUUAUUUUCCUGCAUCGGGAUCGCUGGUGCCGAGUCUGGUGAAGACAUGAAUGCAGACGAUGAGCCUGAUAUGGGGGUUCCUGGUAUGGUUCACAUUGGAGGCCGGGGUCUAUCAACCAUGACCAGACCAACCACAUGAGUAGUACAUUUUUUGACGCCCCAACUUUCUCAAGGCAUCAACCUAGCUCCUGAAGAGAGGAUCUGUAUGUGACCGACUGUAUACUAGCAAGGUUGGUGAGAGACAAUCUUUGUCAGCUGCAAGCAAUGAUUUGAUGAAUACAAGAGAGCUUUAUAAAUGAAAGCCCAUAUGCGUCUUUUAGAGCAGCCAGAGAAUUUUUGAGGGAGAGGGUUCAUAUUCAGGAUACUCCUGGCCCAAUAAGUACUAUACUAAAUGUUUCGAUGCCCUCUUCCGUGGCCGAGUACUCCGUCGCCUGGUCGGCGGGCUUGCUUUCAGGUUUUCCGACACCGUGGUCAUCACCGAGGCCGCUCUGUCUGUUCGUGAUUCAGCGGACCAGUUCGGUCGGCGCUCUAGCCUCACCUCUUCCGCUCCAUCAGGUGGGCACAAGGCGCUGCUCCAGAUCUUCCAGAUCUUCUCCCGAUGGACCGUGGCAUGGGUCGGGUCCUCUGACGUUCCAGCCAUGUCGAUUCUCCUGCCGUCUUAUCUCGAGAAGGGCUUGGGGUGGAGGUAACGCCAUGGCAUGGAGGCGGGGCGGCGAGUAGGGUGAGGCAAGGACGGAGACACCCGCGCCCACCAUGGUCCGGCGGCCACCAGCGGUUACGCCCGCACCGGCGCGUCCAUACGUCCGCUCCAUGGCUACAUCUGGCAGCCGGCGUGCGUCGGGGUUUGCUGGCAGUUCCGGGCGGUACCAGCAGCGGCCGGGUUCGGGUGAGCACCACAGAAGGUCGGGAGAGCUUCUUCCCCUACUAGCAUGUUGAGCAACUGCCUGUCCUGCUAACUGGAGGACUUGGUUUUGGUCUAAGAGGUAGAGCAUGAAGGCCACGGCACAGAAGUUGCUCAACCAAAGUAAGGUGCAGCUGUCUCACUAUCUUUCCUUCGGUUUACCAAAUAAUUAACCUUGCUGAUGGUUAUUUUCUUGAAAGAAUCUUACUGAUAUGCAGAUAAACGAGUUAUUUUGAAUUGAGUGAUUGGACAAACUAUGUAGGAUGUUACAACCAGAAGUAAAUAAAUUAUUUUGAAAAACAGUGUCGCGGAUUUGGGCGAUCGGGAUUUUCUCUGUGAGGUGCUGCACUGCGUUGUGACCAGUGUUUUGUUUGGCUGGGGUUUGAUUUGCGUUAUCGUCUUGCCGGGAUUGUUGGGAUUGUUGCAGGGAUGGUGCACAAAGGCAAACUAGCAAACCUCAGCAAUGAUUCAAAUUUCAGAUCACAGGUCACACGGCAGUACAUAACCAGGCAAGGCAACCUUCCGCUUCAGUUUUUGACCAAAGGAUACUGCAUAUAUUGAGUAUUGACUCUAAUAGGCAGUAGAUCUCUAUCCUUUUCACGGAAUGAAUGUCUGGAAGCUAGUAACAGAUAAAAGCACAAAAGAAUAUGAGAAACCAGUGAAAUAAAGCAUGUGCUGAGAUGAGGAGUUGCGCAUUCACAAGAUUCAAUCUGGUUAAACAAAGAAAUUCCAAGACAACUAGUGGUUGACGAAGGGGCUGGAGGCGCUCAGAUCGGGAGAGACUAAGCUAGUACAGAACCAUGGAACAGAGACGAGAGAGAAGAGGGGUUGCCGAAGAGGAUGUAGAGUUGUAGACCGGAUUACAGGACCGGCGGGAGGCGGCGUCGGCGGUCAGAUCGCAAGAACGGCGGCGGUGGCAGUGAUAUGGAGUGGCUCGACUGGAUCCAUGUUUGUCGUCGCUUCUGCCCCUGCCGCAGCUCCCGCACCUCCGCUCGCCGCCGCUCUCUCUGGUUGCCUUGCGCGCCGCCUGUAGCUACGUUUUGGUCGGGGACGGGGAUAAAACACGAGGUCUGGGUCGUGGAUUGUGUUCAAGGCAAAAAGAAGGUCCUGGACGGGGAUAUGCAGGGAUGGGCGGGGAUAAAACUGGCCCAAACUCUAGCGCCAAACGAGCUUCCGGGGAAAGUCGGGGAUUUGGAGUUGGUAGGGGAUAAUACUCCUCAAUCCCCGCCAAUACUCCACUGCCAAACGAGGCCUAAAAAGAUUUUUCCCCUGGUGCACGUUGUUGGACUAGGCUGCUACUUUUAUGAGUGAUCCACAUUUUGCUGGCUAUCGUCGAGGUGUCUCUCCUUCUGCCUCAAGAUGGUCUAUUGGCCUUACUGAUUCCGAAUUCAGAAAGUUGUUGUAGACGAUACAAAGUUUCAGAGAUAAUGUCUAAGAUUGCAGAUUUGCUUCUCCCCUUGCUGUCAGUUCAUGUACCGCAGCAUCACAAUCUGAUUCCAUGUGUACUGGUUUAAACAAGAAUAGCAAUGAUAGAUUUAAUUCUCCCCCGAUGACGAUCAAGAACUCACCAUGCUGACAAGAUUGUUCUACCAUUGUCAUCUCUAAAGGCAGGGCCAAUUGUUCAAUUCUGCUUUUCCUGUCACCGAAGAUAAGAUUUAUUUUGUAAGUGCCAACAUCUCCACCACAGAGAAGUUUUGAAAUCAUGUCAUUGUUGUACUGACUUGAAGGACUAGAACCCAUGUCUCCAUAGGCAAGGUCCAAGGUUAUUUUAAGCGGUGUCAAAGACCUCUAGCUUUUGUACAAAUCACCUUCCCACAAGUGAUAAGUGGGAAUCAGAUCCAAGCUUACACGUUGUUCGGCGAGUAAUGAGAGCACAUUAUAUUGUCUUGCAAAGUGCUUGCAACAGAAUUAUGCAUUUAGAGUUCUUCAGUUGCAGGCUCUAGGUUACAGGGACAAUUUACACUAAUUAAGUUAAGGAUGUCUUGCUUCGAGCCCAUGAAUGGAACAUAUUCUAUGCACAUCAGCAGCGGCGGCUCUGCCCAUCAACAGCCAUUCAGAUUAGAGUGGCCGAUGAUCUAUCCACUCUAUAGUUUAGCUCAAGCAAUGUACAAACCUGCAGAAAUCUCUAUCGGACCCAUCUGGACAGUAGAAAGAUGUAUCGGCCCCCUCUAAACCAGUUAAGUCAGACCAUGUAAUGUUGUCGUCUGGCACAGUCCAGUGAACCGGCAUAUUCUCCGUAUAAUCCAGUGUGAAUGUUGUUGUCCA